UCCGGUUCGGAUCCGAACUCAAAGGCCAGUUCGAUCAGGAUCCUAAUUGUGUGCUAUCCACUGUGCAUAUGCUCUAAGAUUUGCUACUUCGGCAUCAAGGUCCGCACAUUCGAUGCCGUCUACACCAUCAAUGCCGAUACGGAGAAACUGUAAGCACAACAGGUCGGGGGGGUGGUGUGGAGAAGCUACGAGUGCCGUAAGUAGAAGAGCCACAG
This 215-nucleotide long non-coding RNA is filed under the name Elaeis guineensis (African oil palm). RNAcentral describes it as "long non-coding RNA (EGUI_LNC015607)". The record is from RNAcentral. Lineage: Eukaryota; Viridiplantae; Streptophyta; Magnoliopsida; Arecales; Arecaceae.